RNAcentral lists this ribosomal RNA (505 nucleotides) under Eucephalobus oxyuroides. RNAcentral's name for it is "SSU rRNA". It matches the Rfam family "Eukaryotic small subunit ribosomal RNA", at positions 88 to 589 of the family's 1831-position model. The record is from RNAcentral. RNAcentral also lists the same sequence under 1 other name. Lineage: Eukaryota; Metazoa; Nematoda; Chromadorea; Rhabditida; Cephalobidae.
CGCGAAUGGGCUCAUUACAACAGCUAUAAUUCACUUGAUCUUGACACAAUCCUACUUGGAUAACUGUGGUAAUUCUAGAGCUAAUACAUGCAUUAAAGCUCUGACCUCACGGAAAGAGUGCAUUUAUUAGAACAAAACCAAGCGGCUUCGGCUGUUUUCGGUUGACUCAUAGUAACUGAGCUGAUCGCAUGGUCUUGCACCGGCGACGUGUCUUUCAAGUAUCUGCCGUAUCAACUUUCGAUGGUAGUGUAUCUGACUACCAUGGUGAUCACGCGUAACGGAGGAUAAGGGUUCGACUCCGGAGAAGGGGCCUGAGAAAUGGCCACUACGUCUAAGGAUGGCAGCAGGCGCGCAAAUUACCCACUCUCAGAACGAGGAGGUAGUGACGAGAAAUAACGAGACCGUUCUCUUAAGAGGCCGGUCAUCGGAAUGGGUACAAUUUAAACCCUUUAACGAGUAUCUAUGAGAGGGCAAGUCUGGUGCCAGCAGCCGCGGUAAUUCCAGC